Molecule: ribosomal RNA, 50 nt
Filed under: Alternaria planifunda
Lineage: Eukaryota; Fungi; Ascomycota; Dothideomycetes; Pleosporales; Pleosporaceae
Also listed under: 1 other name
Description: partial 28S ribosomal RNA
Source: RNAcentral
UCCACCAAGCCUUUUUUCAACUUUUGACCUCGGAUCAGGUAGGGAUACCC